RNAcentral lists this ribosomal RNA (275 nucleotides) under Pantoea sp. RNAcentral's name for it is "partial 16S ribosomal RNA". It matches the Rfam family "Bacterial small subunit ribosomal RNA", at positions 1040 to 1315 of the family's 1533-position model. Lineage: Bacteria; Pseudomonadati; Pseudomonadota; Gammaproteobacteria; Enterobacterales; Erwiniaceae. The record is from RNAcentral.
GCUGCAUGGCUGUCGUCAGCUCGUGUUGUGAAAUGUUGGGUUAAGUCCCGCAACGAGCGCAACCCUUAUCCUUUGUUGCCAGCGAUUCGGUCGGGAACUCAAAGGAGACUGCCGGUGAUAAACCGGAGGAAGGUGGGGAUGACGUCAAGUCAUCAUGGCCCUUACGAGUAGGGCUACACACGUGCUACAAUGGCGCAUACAAAGAGAAGCGACCUCGCGAGAGCAAGCGGACCUCACAAAGUGCGUCGUAGUCCGGAUCGGAGUCUGCAACUCGA